RNAcentral lists this long non-coding RNA (544 nucleotides) under Bos taurus (domestic cattle). RNAcentral describes it as "long non-coding RNA NONBTAT018632". The record is from RNAcentral. Lineage: Eukaryota; Metazoa; Chordata; Mammalia; Artiodactyla; Bovidae.
CACAAGCCUACUACGUUUUGAUUCUCUAGAAAUGCAGUUCAAUCAGGUAUAUACCAUAUUUGCUCAUAUAUAGAUUACACAUUUUUUAUUGAGAAUGAAAAUUAUUCUAUUUUCAGAAAUUUUACAUCAAUUUGUUUUAAAUCGUAAACAACUCAUAUCUACUGAAAUGUUAAUUUCUUCAUUAGAAAGAAGACUGUUUCCCUGGCUCCCUUGCCUCCAGCCUGUUUAUCCAUUUUCUCAUGGAGAGAAAGUAACAAAUAUUUACUAUUGGUGAAGCUGGGAUUGUUUUUAAGAGAGAGAAUGGUUUCACAUUUCUAAUGUGCUAAUGGACUAAUCUAUGAAACAGAUCUGAGUCUGUUUUUUAAUAUCUGCUUUAAUGAAAUAAUUUUAUUAUGGGAGUAAAGAUAAGAGGGAAAGAGAUUAACAUCAGGUAUAAUUAGGUUUUCAGGCUUAUCAAGCAUUUAGAUGCUUAUCAAGCAUUAGAGAUGAUAGCACUUCUAAAAUUUUUUGAUCAGCUCUUAAAUUCCUUUGUCAGUUGCUUUAC